AGCCAGCCUACCCUGGGGUUAGCAUUUUGCUUUGACAGUGAGUACUGCUGGUAUAGGGCCAUAUGGGUCAGCUGCCUUACAGUCAGUGUAACCUCUCUGUUGAGACCAUGUAAGUCAUUUGUCUCUUUUACCCCAAAGAUGCUUAAAAUAAACAUAGAAACCCAAUUAAUUACACCUCUAAAAGUCCCCCUGCCCCCCGCCCAAAACCAAACCACUUCCUUCUGAAAAAAUACCUUCUCCUCCUCAAAAGACUUCCAUGUUCCAAAGACUGGAUUCCACUGUCCACACUGUUAAACCACUCCUCAGGGCCCUGCUGUUGGGCAGUGCACAGAGUGUGCAAGAGCUACCAGCUUUUAAACCCUGCCUUUUAAACCCAUGAGUCGAGCUGCUGAACACCUUCGGAAACUACCACCUACUCACCCAGAAGAGGGCCGUUUCAUGUCGUUAGUGACCUUCUGCAUCGGAAAUCACCAGCUAGUACUGGCGAGAGGUCGGUAAUUCCAAGAACUCAUCCAUGCAGGCAAAUAUAAGGACACACAACUUGAUACAGAGGUGGCUAGAUCAGCUCUGACAGUUCUUCAGUGGGAGACUUUUGCUUUCUGAAUCCAAGGGAUUUACUUUCUGUUUUUUUUUUUUUCCAUUUUUUUUCUUUUUAAAGACAAGGUCUCAUUUUGAUCUUGAGAAACUGUCUGAUCAAGCCACCAACUGAAAACCUGCCAUUAUAAACGAGGGAUUUCACAAUGCUCAUUCCAAAAUCUGCGGCUAUUCAUUUCUGGAAGUGACUCACUGAGGAAGAACGGCUGUUGGCGGUGGGAGGGAGGGAUCAUUUUUAGGAGACAGCCGGCACUCUGAGAACUGAGCAGAAACUCCAGAGUAGCUACCACGUGUGUGCACCGACCCCAGCCCAGCUCCCUGAGUCACCCUCCCUCCAGAUGACAUGCAAUGACCAGUCUCAUCAUGAAAGCCACUUGGUGGACAAAAAGCCCUUUGGGCUGUGCACCGCCCCUGCCCUUCGCCUGCCCCUCUGGGGACUAUUUUCACAUAAAUCAGGAGAGGCAGACACACUUGCCACCUGUCAGGACUCCGGGGCUGGUGAGUAACCAGCAUCCAGCGACCACUUCCUGCAUUAAACCUGGAAUCUCCUUGACAAUCUUCAUCGCUAUCGCCACAGCCUCUGCUGCCCUGGAGCCUUACUUGCAACAGAUACAACUGGGACUUUAUUUUGGAAGAGGCACCACAAUACAGCAUGCUGUGAAAUGGCCCUGUCUACAAAUUCCACUUUCUUCUGCUCAGGGCAGUAUCAGAUUCCACGUGAGGGGGAGUAAACCACAGGAGGCUGAUAUGUCUACUUCACCGGGAACAGCACUGCAAUGUGAACCACGGGCCGACUGAAUUGGGAUAGUGUUUAAACCUGUCACCAAGUCACAGAGAAAGACAUGUAAGAAGACACUGCAGCGAAGGGAGGUCCCAAGAUUAUCCCUUCCAAAUCCUGAACCUUUUCCAACACUGAAAAUGACACAUUAAAACUACUUAAACACAAAUACAGUGUGCUUGUAGUUUUUCUCUACGCAACUACCAGCAAAAACCAGGCAUCGUGAUGUGUGCCUUUCAAUUGCAG
Molecule: long non-coding RNA, 1618 nt
Filed under: Cricetulus griseus (Chinese hamster)
Lineage: Eukaryota; Metazoa; Chordata; Mammalia; Rodentia; Cricetidae
Description: lncRNA (ENSCGRG00015034579.1)
Source: RNAcentral